RNAcentral lists this ribosomal RNA (460 nucleotides) under uncultured bacterium. RNAcentral describes it as "partial 16S ribosomal RNA". It matches the Rfam family "Bacterial small subunit ribosomal RNA", at positions 338 to 795 of the family's 1533-position model. The record is from RNAcentral.
CCUACGGGAGGCAGCAGUGAGGAAUAUUGGUCAAUGGACGAGAGUCUGAACCAGCCAAGUAGCGUGAAGGAUGACUGCCCUAUGGGUUGUAAACUUCUUUUAUAUGGGAAUAAAACGUUCCACGUGUGGGAUUUUGUAUGUACCAUAUGAAUAAGGAUCGGCUAACUCCGUGCCAGCAGCCGCGGUAAUACGGAGGAUCCGAGCGUUAUCCGGAUUUAUUGGGUUUAAAGGGAGCGUAGGUGGAUUGUUAAGUCAGUUGUGAAAGUUUGCGGCUCAACCGUAAAAUUGCAGUUGAUACUGGCAGUCUUGAGUACAGUAGAGGUAGGCGGAAUUCGUGGUGUAGCGGUGAAAUGCUUAGAUAUCACGAAGAACUCCGAUUGCGAAGGCAGUUCACUGGACUGCAACUGACACUGAGGCUCGAAAGUGUGGGUAUCAAACAGGAUUAGAUACCCGUGUAGUC